GACGAACGCUGGCGGCGUGCUUAACACAUGCAAGUCGAACGGAAAGGCCUUUUCGGAGGUACUCGAGUGGCGAACGGGUGAGUAACACGUGGGUGAUCUGCCCUGCACUCUGGGAUAAGCCUGGGAAACUGGGUCUAAUACCGGAUAGGACCGCACUUUAGUGUGUGUGGUGGAAAGUUUUUUCGGUGUAGGAUGAGCCCGCGGCCUAUCAGCUUGUUGGUGGGGUAAUGGCCUACCAAGGCGGCGACGGGUAGCCGGACUGAGAGGUUGGUCGGCCACAUUGGGACUGAGGUACGGCCCAGACUCCUACGGGAGGCAGCAGUGGGGAAUAUUGCACAAGGGGCGCAAGCCUGAUGCAGCGACGCCGCGUGGGGGAUGACGGCCUUCGGGUUGUAAACUCCUUUCGCCAGGGACGAAGCGUUUUGUGACGGUACCUGGAGAAGAAGCACCGGCUAACUACGUG
RNAcentral lists this ribosomal RNA (463 nucleotides) under uncultured bacterium. Its description in RNAcentral is "partial 16S ribosomal RNA". It matches the Rfam family "Bacterial small subunit ribosomal RNA", at positions 28 to 507 of the family's 1533-position model. The record is from RNAcentral.